UACGGAGGAUGCAAGCGUUGUCCGGAUUUAUUGGGUUUAAAGGGUGCGUAGGCGGUCUUAUAAGUCAGUGGUUAAAUUACCUUGCUUAACGAGGGAGAUGCCAUUGAUACUGUUGGACUUGAAUACUGUUUGGGUAGGCGGAAUUGGUAGUGUAGCGGUGAAAUGCUUAGAUAUUACCAGGAACACCGAUAGCGAAGGCAGCUUACUGAAGAGAUAUUGACGCUGAGGCACGAAAGUGCGGGUAUCAAACAGG
RNAcentral lists this ribosomal RNA (253 nucleotides) under uncultured bacterium. Its description in RNAcentral is "partial 16S ribosomal RNA". It matches the Rfam family "Bacterial small subunit ribosomal RNA", at positions 524 to 776 of the family's 1533-position model. The record is from RNAcentral.